GUUUGCUUGCUCGCUUGCUGGCUUUUUCUUUUCACUUGCCAAAUCCUUGAAGCACAUUCGGAACAAUGCAGCUUGAAAGCAGUUAGCCCGUUUCAGCGCACAUACAGAAGAGCGCCCAAGUUCAAGUUCGCGUUUCCACCACAGGUAGAAAAACUGCUUUUUCCUUUUGGAGGAAAAGACCGAGAUCAACAACCAUGGCGUCCAAAGUUGAAGCUUCAGUUGAGGGAAAUGAGAUUCUGUUUUCCACGUGACACUGAGUUUGUGUUCCAAGGGCAGGACUCUACCAAAUCAGGGCUGUCUUUUUUUCCGGGAGAGUGUGGAUGCUACAUGGUGGGUUUUGGGGGGGGCACCCAAUGGAUGGAGUUGAAGCGUUUCCCCACCUGUUUAUUACCGGCCAACACAGAGGUGGCAUUGCUGCUCUGUCCCCGAGAAGGCUCCUCUCACAAUUGACUUAUUUUGCUCAUCAGCGAGAACAUGAAAAUGUCUUUUUCACUUCUCUGUGAUCAUCUCCCCAGCUCAGCGACUUCGUGCGCCCCUGUUACUUUGAUUUAUUCAAAUGAUGUAAAAUGUCAACCUAUUGAGAUCCGGAGGGGACCGUGGGUAGUGUCAUCCAGUGCCCUGAAAAGCCAACGGAUUUCAACUCUGAACGGAUGUCAGCGAGGGGCAAAAAGGGAUGACAAAAUGGAUUCGCCGGCUGGCUGCAGUGAAUGGUCGUGUGUGUCCUCGGCGCCGAGGGCUGGAGGGUCACAGCUGAAGACCUCCUGAGAUUCACGGUCUAGGUGGGGACACAGACGGUGACAAGCUGCCGCCAGCCCCUACUGGCUCAGGAGGGUUAAUAAGUGUUCGGGAAUAUUGCAGACCAACUGUGAAACACACCAGUGUCAUAAAUUGAAUUAUAUAAACUUACCAUUAAAUAAAAUAGAAUUAAAACAAAG
RNAcentral lists this long non-coding RNA (935 nucleotides) under Mustela putorius furo (domestic ferret). Its description in RNAcentral is "lncRNA (ENSMPUG00000030067.1)". The record is from RNAcentral. Lineage: Eukaryota; Metazoa; Chordata; Mammalia; Carnivora; Mustelidae.